UCUAUGACCACGAUCCAGAUGAC
This 23-nucleotide small nuclear RNA is filed under the name Arabidopsis thaliana (thale cress). RNAcentral describes it as "snRNA_16115". Lineage: Eukaryota; Viridiplantae; Streptophyta; Magnoliopsida; Brassicales; Brassicaceae. The record is from RNAcentral.